UACAGAGGGUGCGAGCGUUAAUCGGAGUUACUGGGCGUAAAGGGCGCGUAGGUGGUUGUUUAAGUGAGAUGUGAAAUCCCUGGGCUUAACCUAGGAGCUGCAUCUUAUACUGGGCAACUGGAGUACUGUAGAGGGUAGUGGAAUUUCCGGUGUAGCGGUGAAAUGCGUAGAGAUCGGAAGGAACACCAGUGGCGAAGGCGGCUACCUGGACAGAUACUGACACUGAGGCGCGAAAGCGUGGGGAGCAAACAGG
Molecule: ribosomal RNA, 253 nt
Filed under: uncultured bacterium
Lineage: Bacteria
Description: partial 16S ribosomal RNA
Rfam family: Bacterial small subunit ribosomal RNA
Source: RNAcentral